Molecule: ribosomal RNA, 1498 nt
Filed under: Niphargus polymorphus
Lineage: Eukaryota; Metazoa; Arthropoda; Malacostraca; Amphipoda; Niphargidae
Description: partial 28S ribosomal RNA
Rfam family: Eukaryotic large subunit ribosomal RNA
Source: RNAcentral
CCGCUCGGUGGCAGUAAAGGCUUCAGUACGACCCAGUCAGAACCACUAAGUCUCAAAGCCCCGACGAGUAGGGUGGCGUGCCGGUGCGCGUUGAAGGCCAAGACGUGAGUCAGGCUGGAGCCGCCGGUAGUGCAGAUCUUGGUGGUAGUAGCAAGUACUCUGGUGAACCAACCUGGAGCUGUGAGGUCUGGAUUAGGGUUCCAUGUCAACAGUGAUUGAACAUGGGUGAGUCGAACCUAAGCCAACUGUGAAAGCAGUGACAUCCCGACAAAGGGGCACUAUAUAUGUGCUGUACUUACACCCCCAAACAAAGCUCUCGUAUUGCUCUCUCUCUCGCACUCUCUCUCUGACGAUAAGGUGGCUGGCACGGAAUAUGGGCACACACGGUGAUCACUACGGAGUGUGAGUGUGUGCACCAAUCCGAUUACGCAAUUUUUACGAAAUGUGAGCACACACACAAUGAUCACUUUAAAUAAGUGAGUGUGACAAGCUCUUGAGGCUGAUGGUUACGGAAUAUAUGGCAGCACACACACAAUGAUCCAUACAAAUACGUAUGAGUGUGUGUGCAUUGGUUUUGUUACGCUCAUAAGCGUUGUGGCAUGUGGAUAAACGAUAAAGCAUAAAACGAGAGAGAGAGAAACCGAGUGGGUGAGCGUGAGUGUUGCUCCUGCAUGAGCACCCCUGCGUCUGGUUCUAUGUCUGGCGAAAGGGAAUGGGGACUUUGUUCCUUGACCGGUCCUGGCACCCUCGAUUGGCUUUGCCAAUUAAUGGUCCAUGCAAAUGGAACCAGGCCACAGCCGCCGGCAGUCGCCCGAGGAAGAGUUUUCUUUUCUGCUUAACGCACGAGGUCAUCCCUGGAAACAGUUCGGCUGGCGAAAGGGUGCCCCGCUGCGGCAGAGCGCCACGACUGUCGUGCGCGUCUCGGUGUUCCUGCUGAUCCGUGAAGACGUGGUCGAGGGGAUUGCUCUUGUAUCAACGAAACGCCCGACAAGUUCGGGACGGACCGUACCCUAUAUCCGCAUCUGGUCUCCAAGGUUCUUAGCCUCUGCAGAGUCAGACACAUGUAGGUAAGGGAAGUCGGCAAACUCGAUCCGUAACUUCGGGAAAAGGAUUGGCUCUGAGGGCCGAGCUGGGCCGGGCCUUGCCUGCAAAGCAGUACCUAUAGUGACCGGAGUUUCAGGAGUGCGAGGGGCUCUAGUAGCUGCUUGUGCGUGUGUGCGUUCGCGCGUGCACGCGUGUGGGCACGAACGAGUCCACCGCUCCGCUCCAACCACGAACGGCUGUGACGGCAAGGGCUCUGGGCGGGAGCGAUCGAUCCGUUGGCCCCCAGCGUGUCUGGGUGGCGGCGGUGCUCCGUCUGACCCAUACGGCUCCAGCGGCUAGCGGCUAACUCAGAACUGUCAUGGACCAAGGGAAUCCGACUGUCUAAUUAAAACAAAGCGUCGUGAUGGCCCCUGUUGGGUGUUGACGCGAGCGUGAUUUCUGCCCAGUGCUCUAA